UCAGGGAGAAGUCUCUUCGGGGAUGAUUAAACCGGCGCACGGGUGAGUAACACGUGAGUGACCUGCCUUUUAGACUGGAACAACUUACCGAAAGGUGAGCUAAUGCCGGAUGAGUUAUAUAAGUGCAUGUUUAUAUAGGAAAAGUUGGGGAGACCUGACGCUGAAAGAUGGACUCGCGUCCCAUUAGCUAGUUGGUAGGGUAAUGGCCUACCAAGGCGACGAUGGGUAGCCGGCCUGAGAGGGUGGCCGGCCACACUGGGACUGAGACACGGCCCAGACUCCUACGGGAGGCAGCAGUGGGGAAUUUUGCGCAAUGCUCGUAAGAGUGACGCAGCGACGCCGCGUGAAUGACGAAGGCCUUCGGGUCGUAAAGUUCUUUCGACAGGGAAGAAAAUGCCUAUAAGUAACUGUGUAUGUAUUGACGGUACCUGUAUAAGCAGCCCCGGCUAACUCCGUGCCAGCAGCCGCGGUAAUACGGAGGGGGCGAGCGUUGUUCGGAGUGACUGGGCGUAAAGAGCACGUAGGCGGUGUUGUAAGUCAUUAGUCAAAGACUAGAGCUCAACUUUAGUAAGGCUAGUGAUACUAUAAUACUAGAGUAUCAGAGAGGAUUGCAGAAUUCCUGGUGUACCGGUGAAAUGC
This 639-nucleotide ribosomal RNA is filed under the name uncultured bacterium. Its description in RNAcentral is "bacterial SSU rRNA". It matches the Rfam family "Bacterial small subunit ribosomal RNA", at positions 62 to 689 of the family's 1533-position model. The record is from RNAcentral.